This 77-nucleotide transfer RNA is filed under the name Saccharomyces cerevisiae FostersB. Its description in RNAcentral is "tRNA-Tyr (GTA) (tRNA-Tyr-GTA-6-1)". It matches the Rfam family "tRNA". Rfam says of the family: Transfer RNA (tRNA) molecules are approximately 80 nucleotides in length. The record is from RNAcentral. Lineage: Eukaryota; Fungi; Ascomycota; Saccharomycetes; Saccharomycetales; Saccharomycetaceae.
CUCUCGGUAGCCAAGUUGGUUUAAAGGCGCAAGACUGUAAAUCUUUGAGAUCGGGCGUUCGACUCGCCCCCGGGAGA